Molecule: ribosomal RNA, 390 nt
Filed under: Serratia sp. VA57
Lineage: Bacteria; Pseudomonadati; Pseudomonadota; Gammaproteobacteria; Enterobacterales; Yersiniaceae
Description: bacterial SSU rRNA
Rfam family: Bacterial small subunit ribosomal RNA
Source: RNAcentral
AUUCGCUAGAGAUAGCUUAGUGCCUUCGGGAACUCUGAGACAGGUGCUGCAUGGCUGUCGUCAGCUCGUGUUGUGAAAUGUUGGGUUAAGUCCCGCAACGAGCGCAACCCUUAUCCUUUGUUGCCAGCACGUAAUGGUGGGAACUCAAAGGAGACUGCCGGUGAUAAACCGGAGGAAGGUGGGGAUGACGUCAAGUCAUCAUGGCCCUUACGAGUAGGGCUACACACGUGCUACAAUGGCGUAUACAAAGAGAAGCGAACUCGCGAGAGCAAGCGGACCUCAUAAAGUACGUCGUAGUCCGGAUCGGAGUCUGCAACUCGACUCCGUGAAGUCGGAAUCGCUAGUAAUCGUAGAUCAGAAUGCUACGGUGAAUACGUUCCCGGGUCUUUU